AGUGAACGCUGGCGGUAGGCCUAACACUUGCAAGUCGAACGGCAGCACAGUAAGAGCUUGCUCUUACGGGUGGCGAGUGGCGGACGGGUGAGGAAUACAUCGGAAUCUACUUUUUCGUGGGGGAUAACGUAGGGAAACUUACGCUAAUACCGCAUACGACCUACGGGUGAAAGCAGGGGAUCUUCGGACCUUGCGCGAUUGAAUGAGCCGAUGUCGGAUUAGCUAGUUGGCGGGGUAAAGGCCCACCAAGGCGACGAUCCGUAGCUGGUCUGAGAGGAUGAUCAGCCACACUGGAGCUGAGACACGGUCCAGACUCCUACGGGAGGCAGCAGUGGGGAAUAUUGGACAAUGGGCGCAAGCCUGAUCCAGCCAUACCGCGUGGGUGAAGAAGGCCUUCGGGUUGUAAAGCCCUUUUGUUGGGAAAGAAAAGCAGCAGGUUAAUACCCCGCUGUUCUGACGGUACCCAAAGAAUAAGCACCGGCUAACUUCGUG
Molecule: ribosomal RNA, 492 nt
Filed under: uncultured bacterium
Lineage: Bacteria
Description: partial 16S ribosomal RNA
Rfam family: Bacterial small subunit ribosomal RNA
Source: RNAcentral